Molecule: long non-coding RNA, 3022 nt
Filed under: Pan troglodytes (chimpanzee)
Lineage: Eukaryota; Metazoa; Chordata; Mammalia; Primates; Hominidae
Description: long non-coding RNA NONPTRT006988
Source: RNAcentral
CGCAGGUCUCCCCGCAGCCGCAGCCUCCGUUUUGGGUCCCCGGGAAGCCACAGUCGCCCCCCAGCGCCCCCAGCGGAGCCUCCCCGGGGGAAGGGGCGUGGCGCUGGGGGGGGCAGAGUCACCCCGAGGGCCGUGGGCGGUGCCCGGCUGUCCCGGGAGCGGCCGCCUCCCUUCUCGGCAGAAGCCCUCCCCGCCGGCCGAGCGGGGACGCGGGAGCUGAGGUUGGGCCGCGGGCGGAUGGAGGUCUGGGGGAGGGUCGGCCGGGAGCGCUGGCGCCAGCGGAGCUGGCUGGGAGCCUCCGAGGCUGACAGCUCUUCUGGGGCCGCCCUUGCCCCCGCGGAGUGAUUCAACCCCGGCUCGCUGCCUCUGCCUGGCGGGUCGGUGCACCCCCAGACCGAGGCCUGGGGCGUUCUGCUUCAGCAGACCGAAACCAGAAACGCAGCCCCCGCCACCCAGGCCGAGUGUGCCGAGAAGGAGCCGGCACCCUUUUCAGGGUGUCAGGGGACUGUGUGCCCGUCACUGCCCCGUUGAUCCACACACGUCACGAAUCAGUGACAGAGACUCGCUGUGGAAACCGGAGUGCGCUGGCCUGCCUGCUACCCUCCGGUGUUUGUGACUUUUUACCAGCUGUCCUGACGAAGCACAGGGUGGAGCGAGCGCUGGUGUGCUGGGUGGAUUCUCAUCCCCCGAUAGCUGGAAAGUUGCCCCUCAUGACACUGGCCACUGCAUCGACAGCCUCUGUUGCUGGGUGUUUCUUCUAAGCAAUUAAGUAGGAGAUGAUGAAACCUCUCUUCCGUGGGGGGAGGCAGGACCAGCGCCCCGUCUUUAUCAGCCAGUGGCCAUAAAUGUGGACCAUGAACUUUCCCACUUGCUGUCAGCCCGGGCAUCGCAGGUUUGCUGAGGUGCUGGAUAUUUGGAGGUGAGAGAUUUGAGGCACUCGAUUUUCUGGCAGGAACCAGCACAGGCCACGAGUCUCGGACUUCGUGCGGAGGUCUGCUGGUGUCUUCUGAGUGGGUGGAGCCAGGCGUGCCCACCAGAUGCGGGUAGCGUGUGCUAGGCCAGGACGGCUCCCCAGGCUCAAGUCGGCCUCCUCCUGGGCCGAGGAUCCCCCGAGAGGGAGGCAACGUGUCAGGACGGUGUAUGUGGAGAGAGGCUUGAGGCUCGGUGCCCGAGCACGGGCAGGAGGACAGUGGCCUCGAUGCCAGAGACCGGAGGGAGGGACGCGACGAUGAGGCUGCAUAAGAAGAGAGCUGACUGUAGCUGAGUGUGUCAGCCACUCACCACCGAGUCCAGUUUCCGCACAGCACGAUCAUCGUGCCCUUGCUCACACACGUGUUAGAUGAGCUUGUGUGAGCUUUAUGGGCUGUAAUUUGUGAGUCUGUUCUGGGUGUGUGAUCCUGGCAGCCGGCUCGGCCUGGCCGCUCGUGACCUGGGGCCUUGUGGGGGUGGGGAGAGGGUGAGGAGGGGUGCACCCUCGACACCACCCUCUGAUGUGGCCUGCAGCCUAUGAAGAGUGAGGUUUGGGGGCCCAGAGUGUGAGUCACCAGCGGUAAAUGCAAACCAUAUGUGAUGCAUUUUCUCUGCUGCAGAAAGGGUUUCUGGUGACUGGCUCAGGCCAGGGCUCUGGAAACAGCAUUGCUUAUUUCACAUAAAAAUCCUAAGAAUGUGGGUGAACCUGUCUGAGAUCUGCGUAAUAAAACACUUAGUUGAAGUCACCGGGUUAGUUCCAGGCCCACUUGCUUAUGACGUGGCUGUUAGCCACGAGCUGGCAUUUACGUUAAAGUGUUGAGAAGAAGCGUGAGGGUUUUGAUGUUUCAGUUUCUUGAAAAUAUAACUGUUUCUACUCAGGACCUGCCUCUCCAAGAGUGUAGCACACUUCAUUUUUUUCUGUUUAGCAUGUAUGAGGGUGAACUUAGCUUGCUACUCACACACUACUCACUCUGUGGAGGAAGUUUGCCUCGCUUUUGUGGUGAGUCUUGCUGUAAUGAUAGCUUAUAUUUACAAAUACCGUCAGCAGUGCAGGGUCUUCAGGCUUGCAGAAAACGGUCAAGUCAUUACUUUGAGAAAUGUACAAACAUCUAUGCUUAAUGAGGUGCUAAAAGACAAAACUCAUCUACAAUCUCCUUCCCCCCAAACUGCCAACACUUCUGAUUAAUUUAAAAUCUGCUCUAAACGACAAAACUCAUCUACAACCUCCUUCCCCCCAAACUGCCAACACUUCUGAUUAAUUUAAAAUCUGCUCUAAAAGACAAAACUCAUCUACAACCUCCUUCCCCACAAACUGCCAACACUCUGGAUUAAUUUAAAAGCUGCUCUCUGGGCAGGUUGCAUCCCAGGGCUCCUCCUUCACACAUGGUGGGGCCCCACCUUCGCUUUACCUCUAGCGUCCCAGCCCUCGUGGUCAUCUGGAACCAGGGUUGGUACACAGGGCCUGCUGGCAUUCCUAUGAUACUCCGUGAUAUUCUGGAGGAAUCCAUCCCUUCCUUGGGGCUCCAUCCCACUGCCCCAGCACCUCCAGCCACCCUGAUUCAGGGACAUCGCAGAGAUUGGUGUUUGACGCUACGGCAGCAGAGGCGCAGACUCUUGAGUGUUGGAGGGUGUCUGGAGGGCCUGGGGGCCAGCACCGCCUGCACUCCCGGGAGCUCGGCCCCGCCCCACCGUGGCUCUGAGUGUCGGAGGGCGUCUGGAGGACCUGGGGGCCAGCACCACCUGCACUCCCGGGAGCUCGGCCCCUCCCCACCGUGGCUCUGAGUGUUGGAGGGCGUCUGGAGGGCCUGGGGGCCAGCACCGCCUGCACUCCCGGGAGCUCGGCCCCUCCCCACCGUGGCUCUGAGUGUUGGAGGGCGUCUGGAGGGCCUGGGGGCCAGCACCACCUGCACUCCCGGGAGCUCUGCCCCUCCCCACCGUGGCUCUGAGUGUGGGAGGGCGUCUGGAGAGCCUGGGGGCCAGCACCGCCUGCACUCCUGGGAGCUCGGCCCUGCCCCACCAUGGCUCUUGGUGCAGGUGCACUGGAAGGAACUGG